UUUUGGCAGAGUAAUGCAAUAAAUUUAGAUUUUAUAUAAGUAACUUAUUUUACUAUUAAAA
This 61-nucleotide transfer RNA is filed under the name Gilpinia sp. 3 GYN-2022c. RNAcentral's name for it is "tRNA-Leu". Lineage: Eukaryota; Metazoa; Arthropoda; Insecta; Hymenoptera; Diprionidae. The record is from RNAcentral.